RNAcentral lists this transfer RNA (69 nucleotides) under Ictidomys tridecemlineatus (thirteen-lined ground squirrel). RNAcentral's name for it is "Spermophilus tridecemlineatus (thirteen-lined ground squirrel) tRNA". It matches the Rfam family "tRNA". Rfam says of the family: Transfer RNA (tRNA) molecules are approximately 80 nucleotides in length. Lineage: Eukaryota; Metazoa; Chordata; Mammalia; Rodentia; Sciuridae. The record is from Rfam by way of RNAcentral. RNAcentral also lists the same sequence under 1 other name.
GGGAUUAUGGUUCAGUGGCAGAGCGCUUGCCUUGCAAGUAUGAGGCACUGGGUUUGAUCCCCAGCACCA